GUAAGUACAUCCAAUAUAACUGGGACUUCACUCUGGGCAUACAGGCGAGUGUACAACACAAUAUGCUGGCUUUAGCUUUGGGCAUAAGGUAAGUACAUCAAAUGUAACUGGGACUUCACUUGGGCAUACACGCGAGUACAGGCGAGUGUACAACACAAUAUGCUGGCUUUAGCUUUGGGCAUAAGGUAAGUACAUCCAAUAUAACUGGGACUUUACUCUGGGCAGACAGGUGGGUGUACAACACAAUAUGCUGACUUUAGCUUUGGGCAUACGCUUACGGUGAAUAUACAGGGAAACAGGAAGUGAUGUAACUCACAGACCUUCGAGGGAAUAGACGUCAGACGUUCCUUUUCUGAGGCUUCUACCAACUGCUGAUAGAGAGGCGGAUCGAAAACUGUUG
Molecule: long non-coding RNA, 400 nt
Organism: Cyprinus carpio carpio
Lineage: Eukaryota; Metazoa; Chordata; Actinopteri; Cypriniformes; Cyprinidae
Source: Ensembl